RNAcentral lists this ribosomal RNA (417 nucleotides) under Fusobacteriota bacterium. RNAcentral's name for it is "Fusobacteria bacterium partial 16S ribosomal RNA". It matches the Rfam family "Bacterial small subunit ribosomal RNA", at positions 355 to 776 of the family's 1533-position model. Lineage: Bacteria; Fusobacteriati; Fusobacteriota. The record is from RNAcentral.
UGGGGAAUAUUGCACAAUGGACGGAAGUCUGAUGCAGCGACGCCGCGUGGGGGAUGAAGGCUUUCGGGUUGUAAACUCCUUUUGAUGCUGAACAAGGCUCUUUUUAGGGUUGAGGGUAGGUGUUGAAUAAGCGCCGGCUAACUACGUGCCAGCAGCCGCGGUAAUACGUAGGGCGCGAGCGUUGUCCGGAAUUAUUGGGCGUAAAGGGCUCGUAGGCGGUUUGUCGCGUCUGCUGUGAAAGACCGGGGUUUAACUCCGGGGUUGCAGUGGGUACGGGCAGACUAGAGUGCGGUAGGGGUAGCUGGAAUUCCUGGUGUAGCGGUGGAAUGCGCAGAUAUCAGGAGGAACACCGAUGGCGAAGGCAGGUUACUGGGACGUUACUGACGCUGAGGAGCGAAAGCAUGGGGAGCGAACAGG